GUUCUGGUAGUUUAAUUUAGAAUGUGGCGGUGAAGUUGCUGUGGUAAUGUUAGGUUCUAGGACA
Molecule: transfer RNA, 64 nt
Filed under: Lithoredo abatanica
Lineage: Eukaryota; Metazoa; Mollusca; Bivalvia; Myida; Teredinidae
Description: tRNA-Phe
Source: RNAcentral